RNAcentral lists this ribosomal RNA (885 nucleotides) under uncultured bacterium. RNAcentral's name for it is "bacterial SSU rRNA". It matches the Rfam family "Bacterial small subunit ribosomal RNA", at positions 8 to 892 of the family's 1533-position model. The record is from RNAcentral.
AGAGUUUGAUCCUGGCUCAGGAUGAACGCUAGCGGCAGGCUUAAUACAUGCAAGACGAACGGUAACUGGUGUAGCAAUACACUAGCUAGAGUGUCGUACGGGUGCGUAACACGUAUGCAACCUACCUUGUACAGGGGUAUAGCUCGGGGAAACUCGAAUUAACACCCCAUAAGAUAAUAGUGAGGCAUCUCACAGUUAUUAAAACUGAGGUGGUACAAGAUGGGCAUGCGAUUGAUUAGUUAGUUGGCAGUGUAAUGGACUACCAAGACGAUGAUCAAUAGGGGACCUGAGAGGGUGAUCCCCCACACUGGCACUGAGAUACGGGCCAGACUCCUACGGGAGGCAGCAGUAGGGAAUAUUGGACAAUGGGUGAGAGCCUGAUCCAGCCAUGCCGCGUGCAGGAAGAAGGCGUUAUGCGUUGUAAACUGCUUUUGCCAGGGGGUAAAAUACCCAUGCGUGGGAAAUUGAGAGUACCUGGUGAAUAAGCCACGGCUAACUACGUGCCAGCAGCCGCGGUAAUACGUAGGUGGCAAGCGUUGUCCGGAUUUAUUGGGUUUAAAGGGUGCGUAGGCGGCCUUGUAAGUCAGUGCUGAAAUACCCCGGCUUAACCGGGGGGGUGGCAUUGAUACUGCAGGGCUUGAGUACAGAUGAGGUAGGCGGAAUUGACGGUGUAGCGGUGAAAUGCAUAGAUAUCGUCAAGAACACCUAUAGCGAAGGCAGCUUACUAAGCUGUAACUGACGCUGAGGCACGAAAGUGUGGGGAUCAAACAGGAUUAGAUACCCUGGUAGUCCACACUGUAAACGUUGAUGACUCGCUGUUGGCGAUACACAGCCAGCGGCUAAGCGCAAGCGAUAAGUCAUCCACCUGGGGAGUACGCCGGCAAC